RNAcentral lists this transfer RNA (72 nucleotides) under Monilinia vaccinii-corymbosi. RNAcentral's name for it is "tRNA-Arg". It matches the Rfam family "tRNA". Rfam says of the family: Transfer RNA (tRNA) molecules are approximately 80 nucleotides in length. Their secondary structure includes four short double-helical elements and three loops (D, anti-codon, and T loops). Further hydrogen bonds mediate the characteristic L-shaped molecular structure. tRNAs have two regions of fundamental functional importance: the anti-codon, which is responsible for specific mRNA codon recognition, and the 3' end, to which the tRNAs corresponding amino acid is attached (by aminoacyl-tRNA synthetases). tRNAs cope with the degeneracy of the genetic code in two manners: having more than one tRNA (with a specific anti-codon) for a particular amino acid; and 'wobble' base-pairing, i.e. permitting non-standard base-pairing at the 3rd anti-codon position. The record is from RNAcentral. Lineage: Eukaryota; Fungi; Ascomycota; Leotiomycetes; Helotiales; Sclerotiniaceae.
UCCCUGCUGGCGCAAUGGUAGCGCGCAAGACUUCUAAUCUUGAGGCUGUAGGUUCGAGACCUACGUAGGGAG